Long non-coding RNA from Leopardus geoffroyi (Geoffroy's cat), 537 nucleotides. RefSeq lists it as uncharacterized. The record is from RefSeq and is a predicted model, not a curated record. The transcript has 2 exons. Lineage: Eukaryota; Metazoa; Chordata; Mammalia; Carnivora; Felidae.
CGAAAGAGGGCAGAGUACCAGCCAUCGGUCUCCACACGCAGCCUGCCCAGUUGCACCCUGCAGGGGCCACGAUCAGCCCACCGCCCAGCGAGGCCCAGAGAGCCAGCAACAAGGCUCUGGUAACAUCUCCUGGCCUCGUGAAUCUGCCAUGAAAGCCUCUUGGAUGAGCCUUAACAAGAUGCGUCCAGAAACAGAAAGCACCGAUCUGCUCCAGAAAUAACUUGCCCUGGGAGCCGACACAUAGCCUGCAGCCGAGUUUUUUGGUGAAGCCCUAAGUUCAGGGGCUGAACGAAGAAGGGAGUCCUGAUUCUGAUCUAAGUGUAACAGGUUAGAGGGCCCUGUACUUCCUCGCCCAGAUAAAGGGCCACUUUGGAAAACAUAUUCCAUUUUACCAACAAUUGUGGGAUCCAACUCUGUGCAAGUUCCGGGCGCCUGGGAUACAUCAAUAAAAAAAAAGCCCCCAAAAAAGGCCAGAACAAAAACAAAUGUUGUCUUCGUGAGCCUAGAUAUAAAAAGUGCAUCUCUCAAACUUGUGAA